RNAcentral lists this ribosomal RNA (468 nucleotides) under uncultured bacterium. RNAcentral's name for it is "partial 16S ribosomal RNA". It matches the Rfam family "Bacterial small subunit ribosomal RNA", at positions 28 to 507 of the family's 1533-position model. The record is from RNAcentral.
GACGAACGCUGGCGGCGUGCUUAACACAUGCAAGUCGAACGGAAAGGCCCUGCUUUUGUGGGGUGCUUGAGUGGCGAACGGGUGAGUAACACGUGAGUAACCUGCCCUUGACUUUGGGAUAACUUCAGGAAACUGGGGCUAAUACCGGAUAGGCGCUCCUGCUGCAUGGUGGGGGUUGGAAAGUUUCGGCGGUUGGGGAUGGACUCGCGGCUUAUCAGCUUGUUGGUGGGGUAGUGGCUUACCAAGGCUUUGACGGGUAGCCGGCCUGAGAGGGUGACCGGCCACAUUGGGACUGGGAUACGGCCCAGACUCCUACGGGAGGCAGCAGUGGGGAAUAUUGCACAAUGGGCGGAAGCCUGAUGCAGCAACGCCGCGUGCGGGAUGACGGCCUUCGGUUUGUAAACCGCUUUCGCCUGUGACGAAGCGUGAGUGACGGUAAUGGGUAAAGAAGCACCGGCUAACUACGUG